UGGGACCUGGGGCCCCUAACCCUGGCCCUGGAGAGAGCCGGAGGGCGGGGUGAGAGUGAGCUUGGCCUGUCCCAGCCCGGCCGCCCUUAGCCUGGGGUUUUCCAAGGCCUUGAAACAUUCAGCAAAUAUUUAUUGAGCUGUGGCUGGGUGCCAAGUCGGGUGGGGACACGGACCCGAGACAUAGCACUUCCCGAGGGGCUGAGUCCUAGGGGCAGAGGGGCACCGAUAAACAGGUGAGGUCAGGGAGCAAGAAGUGCCUCAGGAAAACAAACGCAGGGGCACAGAACAGGGAGGACAGGCUGCUCCUUCAGCCAGGGAGGCUGGGGCUGAGCCCGAGGGAGGUGGCAGGGAGCCUCUGGAUGGCUUGGGAGAAGACAGCACCGCAAGUGCCAAGGCCCUGAGGUAGGAGGGAGGAGGGAGGCAGAUGCUGCAUGGAGAGGCAGGAGGAAGGGCAGGAGGCAAAAUCACCCUGUGACAGUCUCACCAUGUAGCCCAGGCUGGCCUUGAACUCACAGAGAUCCUCCUGCCUCAGCCUCCUGAGAGCUGGGAUGAUAGGUGUGCGUCACCACACCUGGCUGCUGACAGGCCCUGGACCUUGGCCUCUGUUCAGUGAUGGGCAGGCCCAGCGUGAGGGCGCAGGGGAUUGGUUGAGUGGUGGGAUUCUUCAGCUCCACGUGAUCUCGCGAGAGGAGAGGAGCGUCCUGCCGCGCAGCACCCCCCCCCCCCCCAGUAGCUCGUUCUGGGCAUGCGUGGUGCACGUAGGCUGCCUGAGUCUGAGAAGGUGGUGUCUCCAAGCUGGAAGGCGCAGCGACCAGAUUUUCCCUUAUGGGUGUAAGCAGGUGCUGCUGACAGCCGACUGUAACCUGCUGAACUCACUUCGGACGUCUGAGCUCCAGGACCCGGACAGAAAUGAUGUUGUUUUGGGGCUGGGAUGGAGCCCCACACAUCUAAGCCAGUGCUGCACCCCUGAGCUGCGCUCGCAGUGCUGAUUCUGUGCUUUCCAAGUUACUAAGCUUCUGCUAAUAAGAUUGAUUCACUGGUUUCUUUCUUGCUUGCUUACUUUCUACUGGAGACUACAGCCCAGGGUUCACUGAGCUACAUACCCAGCUCAUUUAUUUAUUUAGUUUUAUUUUAAGACUGUGGCCUGCUAGGCUCAAACUUGUG
This 1164-nucleotide long non-coding RNA is filed under the name Cavia porcellus (domestic guinea pig). RNAcentral's name for it is "lncRNA (ENSCPOG00000036865.1)". Lineage: Eukaryota; Metazoa; Chordata; Mammalia; Rodentia; Caviidae. The record is from RNAcentral.